AUAAUUCCCCUGCCAAUGGUUUCAACUAUCAUUUUUAACAUUGGCGUGUCAUUGGAAAACGACCGCUUCAACAACUCACCGUAAGAUAGGAGAUUUAGAUUUG
Long non-coding RNA from Rhagoletis zephyria (snowberry fruit fly), 103 nucleotides. RefSeq lists it as uncharacterized. The record is from RefSeq and is a predicted model, not a curated record. Lineage: Eukaryota; Metazoa; Arthropoda; Insecta; Diptera; Tephritidae.